This 74-nucleotide transfer RNA is filed under the name Streptomyces filamentosus. RNAcentral's name for it is "tRNA-Ala". Lineage: Bacteria; Bacillati; Actinomycetota; Actinomycetes; Kitasatosporales; Streptomycetaceae. The record is from RNAcentral.
GUCCGCGCAGGUGCUCGGGGUGUGGCGGCCGGGGCUGGCGGUCCCGGAGGCGCCGUUCCACCGGUACGCGCUCC